This 253-nucleotide ribosomal RNA is filed under the name uncultured bacterium. RNAcentral's name for it is "partial 16S ribosomal RNA". It matches the Rfam family "Bacterial small subunit ribosomal RNA", at positions 524 to 776 of the family's 1533-position model. The record is from RNAcentral.
UACGUAGGGGGCUAGCGUUGUCCGGAAUCAUUGGGCGUAAAGCGCGCGUAGGCGGUCCGAUAAGUCGGAUGUGAAAGUCAGGGGCUCAACCCUUGAAAGCCGGCCGAUACUGUCGGACUAGAGUCCGGAAGAGGCAAGUGGAAUUCCCGGUGUAGCGGUGAAAUGCGCAGAUAUCGGGAGGAACACCAAUGGCGAAGGCAGCUUGCUGGGACGGUACUGACGCUGAGGCGCGAAAGCGUGGGGAGCAAACAGG